GUGUACGCAAGUCAUUGGGUAAUUAAAACUCAAAGGCGAAAUGAAAGUAAAAGAGUUAAAACUUAACUGGCUUACUCAAGGGAAGAUGAAUGUCUUAUUAGAUUAAUAAUUUUUAGUUAACAAACUAUUUAUUAUUGUUUAAUAAAGAUUUUCCGCAUUCCCAGGGCGUUUAAUACUCUUAUUAUUGAGUAUGUGCGCACCUAGAGCGUACACAUGAUACCCGAAAGAUGGUGAACUAUGCCUGGCCAGGACGAAGCCAGGGGAAACCCUGGUGGAGGUCCGCAGCGAUUCUGACGUGCAAAUCGAUCGUCAGAGCUGGGUAUAGGGGCGAAAGACCAAUCGAACCAUCUAGUAGCUGGUUCCCUCUGAAGUUUCCCUCAGGAUAGCUUGCGCUCAUCCGAGUCUCAUCCGGUAGAGCGAAUGAUUAGAGGCAUUGGGGUCGAAACGACCUCAACCUAUUCUCAAACUCCAAAUAGAUGAGAGCCCCGGCUUUCUUAAAAUUGAAGCCGUGGGAAUAGGAUCAGAGUGCC
This 530-nucleotide ribosomal RNA is filed under the name Xenocaucus nguru. Its description in RNAcentral is "eukaryotic LSU rRNA". It matches the Rfam family "Eukaryotic large subunit ribosomal RNA", at positions 680 to 1123 of the family's 3401-position model. The record is from RNAcentral. Lineage: Eukaryota; Metazoa; Arthropoda; Insecta; Hemiptera; Reduviidae.